CCUGAGAAACGGCUACCACAUCUAAGGAAGGCAGCAGGCACGUAAAUUACCCAAUCCCAGCACGGGGAGGUAGUGACGAAAAAUAACAAUCCGGAACUCAAACGAGUUUCCGAAAUUGGAAUGAGUACAAUUUAAAAACUUUAACGAGGAGCAAAUGGAGGGCAAGUCUGGUGCCAGCAGCCGCGGUAAUUCCAGCUCCAUUAGUAUAUAUUAAAGUUGUUGCGGUUAAAAAGCUCGUAGUCGAUUUUGUAUCUCGUACUUUCGAAUUCCCGCGAUUUUAUUCGUGUGGUUUUUGUUAUUUAAUUGUACGAGAUAUAUAGACUGGUGGAUGUUUAGAAAUCGUUUGCUUAUAGACGACGGACAUCUGUUCGCGCUAUUCAUCGAUUUCGAUAUUCAAUACGAUGGGUUUAGGAUUUAAUUUCGCAGCAGUGUAAAAUGUUUCAAUUACGUUACUAUUUUCGCUGUUUGUGAAAUGCUUAAAUUCGAUUGUAUUCUAAACUAUGAAGAAAGCGUUGCGGUCAGAGAUGCAAUUUCGUAAAAAGAAUUCGGUUGUCGCGCUCGUUUUCGGCUUGUCGGGCCGGCGAAAUUACUUUGAACAAAUUAGAGUGCUUAAAGCAGGCAAAUUUAUAUGCCUUGAAUAUCGCAGCAUGGAAUAAUAGAAUAUGAUCUCGGUACCGUUUGUUUAAUGUUUUUCUUAUCUUCGGAUAGAAAGGCAAUUUUCGUUUGAUGAAAUGCGUAAGCGUAUUGUGAGGCGAAAUGAAAUUGGCUUAAAGUGGCAAAGUUGGGAAAUCUUAAAUGAUUUUCUUUUUGUCCACGACAGUAUAUCGAGAUAAUGAUUAAUAGAGACGGAUGGGGGCAUUCGUACUACGACGCUAGAGGUGAAAUUCUUGGACCGUCGUAAGACGAACUGAAGCGAAAGCGUUUGUCAAAAACGUUUUCAUUGAUCAAGAACGAAAGUUAGAGGUUCGAAGGCGAUCAGAUACCGCCCUAGUUCUAACCAUAAACGAUGCCGACCAGCGAUCCGYCGAUGUUCAUUUAAAUUGACUCGACGGGCAGCUUCCGGGAAACCAAAGUUUUUGGGUUCCGGGGGAAGUAUGGUUGCAAAGCUGAAACUUAAAGGAAUUGACGGAAGGGUACCACCAGGAGUGGAGCUUGCGGCUUAAUUUGACUCAACACGGGAAACCUCACCAGGUCAGGACACUGAUAGGAUUGACAGAUUGAUAGCUCUUUCUUGAUUCAGUGGGUGGUGGUGCAUGGCCGUUCUUAGUUGGUGGAGCGAUUUGUCUGGUUAAUUCCGAUAACGAACGAGACUC
RNAcentral lists this ribosomal RNA (1313 nucleotides) under Caenocholax fenyesi. RNAcentral describes it as "SSU rRNA". It matches the Rfam family "Eukaryotic small subunit ribosomal RNA", at positions 397 to 1354 of the family's 1831-position model. The record is from RNAcentral. Lineage: Eukaryota; Metazoa; Arthropoda; Insecta; Strepsiptera; Myrmecolacidae.